UGAGGAAUAUUGCACAAUGGGCGCAAGCCUGAUGCAGCAACGCCGCGUGCGGGACGAAGGCCUUCGGGUCGUAAACCGCUUUUCUGGGGAAAGAGCAAGGACGGUACCUCAGGAAUAAGUCUCGGCUAACUACGUGCCAGCAGCCGCGGUAAAACGUAGGAGGCGAGCGUUAUCCGGAUUUACUGGGCGUAAAGCGCACGCAGGCGGCUCUGUGAGUCGGACGUGAAAGCUCCCGGCUUAACCGGGAGAGGCCGUUCGAUACUGCGGGGUUGGAGGUAGCGAGUGGGGUGCGAGAUCCGGGGUGGAGUGGUGGAGUGCGUAGGUAACGGGCGGAGCG
This 337-nucleotide ribosomal RNA is filed under the name uncultured bacterium. Its description in RNAcentral is "bacterial SSU rRNA". It matches the Rfam family "Bacterial small subunit ribosomal RNA", at positions 355 to 708 of the family's 1533-position model. The record is from RNAcentral.